RNAcentral lists this transfer RNA (91 nucleotides) under bacterium. Its description in RNAcentral is "tRNA-Ser". It matches the Rfam family "tRNA". From Rfam's summary of the family: Transfer RNA (tRNA) molecules are approximately 80 nucleotides in length. Their secondary structure includes four short double-helical elements and three loops (D, anti-codon, and T loops). Further hydrogen bonds mediate the characteristic L-shaped molecular structure. tRNAs have two regions of fundamental functional importance: the anti-codon, which is responsible for specific mRNA codon recognition, and the 3' end, to which the tRNAs corresponding amino acid is attached (by aminoacyl-tRNA synthetases). tRNAs cope with the degeneracy of the genetic code in two manners: having more than one tRNA (with a specific anti-codon) for a particular amino acid; and 'wobble' base-pairing, i.e. permitting non-standard base-pairing at the 3rd anti-codon position. The record is from RNAcentral.
GGAGAGGUCGCAUAGUGGCCGAGUGCGGCUCCGUGCUAAGGAGUUAGGGGUUUAUAGCCCCUCGAGGGUUCGAAUCCCUCCCUCUCCGCCA